GUGCCAGCCGCCGCGGUAAAACGUAGGGGGCGAGCGUUGUCCGGAAUUACUGGGCGUAAAGCGUGCGCAGGCGGUUUUGUAAGACAGGUGUGAAAUCCCCGAGCUCAACUUGGGAACUGCACUUGUGAUUGCAAGACUAGAGUGUGUCAGAGGGAGGUAGAAUUCCACGUGUAGCAGUGAAAUGCGUAGAUAUGUGGAGGAAUACCAGUGGCGAAGGCGGCCUCCUGGGAUAACACUGACGCUCAUGUACGAAAGCGUGGGGAGCAAACAGGAUUAGAUACCCUGGUAGUCCACGCCCUAAACGAUGUCAACUGGUUGUUGGGGAUUCAUUUCCUUAGUAACGAAGCUAACGCGUGAAGUUGACCGCCUGGGGAGUACGGUCGCAAGAUUAAAACUCAAAGGAAUUGGCGG
Molecule: ribosomal RNA, 411 nt
Filed under: uncultured bacterium
Lineage: Bacteria
Description: bacterial SSU rRNA
Rfam family: Bacterial small subunit ribosomal RNA
Source: RNAcentral